Molecule: long non-coding RNA, 369 nt
Organism: Cyprinus carpio carpio
Lineage: Eukaryota; Metazoa; Chordata; Actinopteri; Cypriniformes; Cyprinidae
Source: Ensembl
GAAAGGUUUAUUUUUCACGCAGCACUCACCUUGAUAUGUUACCUAACCAUUUCCCCCAAAUGUCUGGUGAUCUCGAAAGAUGUUCUCCAUGUGUUGAAGCUGAAGACAUGACCUACACAUGGAUGAAACUCUGGGAGCAUGCUGUGAUAGUGCUGGCCUUUGGAAUUCCGUCAAUACCCUGUAUAGUAAUCAUGUGACGAAGAUAUGACUGCAUUGUGGAGCAUGUGCGCUGAUAAAUUGAGUUGGCUACGUUUCUGUGUAAUGUGCAUUACAAAAUAGUUUGAUAUGAUAUGUUAUUAUUAUUAUUAUUUUUUUUGUUUGUUUGUUUAUUCCACUUCCUCUUUUUUCUCACAACUUGUCAGUUCUACC